RNA transcript from Lolium rigidum, 1512 nucleotides. RefSeq lists it as uncharacterized. The transcript is spliced from 4 exons. NCBI's taxonomy places the organism in Eukaryota, Viridiplantae, Streptophyta, Magnoliopsida, Poales, Poaceae. The record is from RefSeq and is a predicted model, not a curated record.
UAAGCAGCAAUAAAAUGAUGAUGAUUUGCUGUUAAUAAGCAGCAAUGAUACGAUACAGAGUUCAUGUUUCCCUUAACGUAAAGUCCACUUCUUCCAUAUGGCCGGUUCAGUAUAAAAUGGCAAUUGCUACUAAAACUAAAAAAAAAUUGCAGCUAUCUUUUUUUUAAAAAAAUAGGCACAAAAAAUGCAGAGAAAAAUGUAGUGUUGAUUCUGAAGUUCAUUUUUAUUUAUUGGAGAAGCUCACUUUUAGAGAAAAAUGCAGAGAAAUGAUCUAUAUUUAUUGGGCAGAGUUCGCUUCGUCCGAAAGCGAAGUUCAGUUUUGUCAUCGGAACAAUUCAAUUCAUAAUCAGCUAGCUAUUUUUGAGAAAAUUAAACAGAGUAAAAACUAAUGCUGCUUGAACUUCAUCAUUGAAAAGUAAAUUGUCGAGCUCUGGAAUAUUCUUGUACUUGAAGAUACCAGAAUUUGCAUUCACUUGUACCAGGUACCUAGCAGUAGUUUCAUUUCACGCGAUGAUAGAGUAGCUUAAGAGUUUGACAUUACCAUGCUUUGGCUGCAUUAUUGCUUGCGAUUAUAUUAAUUUAAUCAUGGUUAUGCAUUUUCAGCAAAGCUGACUGUUUUCAUUUGGAUUACAGAUAACGAUCCUGACCAUGACCAUCCAAUGGAGUCUAAUCGCCUUCAUCGGGAUGCACCUGGUGUGUGCUAAUAUUUUUGUCCUUUGCUAUGCACAAAAGCUCGUGGCCGGGAGAGCUGCAGUAUACGGGCGGGCAGUCGAGUCCUCAGCAAAAGGCAGUGCUGUGAUGCGAAGCAGCCAACAUAAUCAAAGAGUAGGAAGUUUGCGACUCCUGGACCCCGCCGCCGCGCGCCUUCUGGACCCCGCUGCCGCGCACCUCCUAGAUCCCCGCUGCCGCGCGCCUCCUAGACCUGCCGACGCGCGCCUCCUGUACUCGACGCUGCACGGCUCCUGUAUCCCCGCCGCCCCGUGGUCGCCCCUAUCCACCGCGCCGUCCAACCUGACUGCCGCGGUCACACGAAGGGCGGAGCGAGGGACGCAUGAAGUUCAGUUCUCCCAAUCUUUAGAGUUCAGUUCUCCUGAUCCGUGGAUUUCAAAUCCGUGCUAGCUGAACUGCUACGUUGCUGCUGUUGGGCAGAGAGUCUGGCUUCAUGCGUUGCCUCUGAACUGCUGCAGGGUGAGCUGCACCAGGCAGAUUUCGAGUUGCAUCAUGCGGUGGUGGAUGGGAGAUCGGAGAGGGGCCACCGGUGUUGUUGGGCGGAGAGGUGCACCGACGCUCUGCGUUCAAGCCUAUCAUCUAAAGCACAGGAACAACACUUGGAUCUCCCUUAAGAUGGCGUUUGGUGUACCUUUGAAGCCAUGGUCCUAAGCUUCUCCAAACCACCCCGUUCCCUGCCUCCCUGGUCUCACUCCUUUACUCGUCUGGUUGACCGUGCCUUCCACCGAUGGGAGUUCACAAAGCCGCGUGUAGGUGUUCAUUGGCACCAGCACUUUCGGGCUC